Molecule: long non-coding RNA, 1309 nt
Organism: Liolophura sinensis
Lineage: Eukaryota; Metazoa; Mollusca; Polyplacophora; Chitonida; Chitonidae
Exons: 3
Source: RefSeq, a predicted model, not a curated record
ACAGUCGGUCAUUGUCACAUUAUAGUACACGGUAAUUAUCCCAGAUGCCCAAACGCUGCCUGUUAGGAGGCUGUAGCAACAGUAACCAGAGUGGGGCCACCAUGCACCUGAGGCCAACAGACAAGUCUGUGGCUCGAAAAUGGACAAAUUUUGUUAGGCCUACCCAAACGAGGGUGUUUUUGUUUGGAUCGACUCCAUACUCCGUGCUGUGUUGUGAACAUUUCCCAGCAGAUUCUUACAGCAACAGUCAGCUGGAGCGGAAGCUUGGUGUGAAACCUAAACUUAAAUCGAACGCAGUACCCGUUUUUCAAGCCGACAGAAGUAAACGAACCACAUGUCACUCAAGCGACGAAUGCUAAAUUAACAGAAAGACGGCUCGGGUUGAGAGCAGUUAAGCUGGCACUGUAGUAAUUCCGCCUGUCACUCGCAACGCCCGUUUGGAUUCGUCAAAUGUGCCAGCAGCUAUCCGAAAACGGCAUUGUAUGAGAAUUAUCUCUGUGGCAGAAUCUUGAGAAUGUUGUCCAGCAGAGGUUGCUCCAGAUAUCUCAGAGCCGGAUAUCCCAGACCCAGGGGCCUCAGUGCUAGAUACCUCAGAGUUGGAUAUUACACCAGACUGGUGUAUUGAGGACAUCAGUUUUACCACUGAUGUUGGACUUCACUCAGAGCACUAGGUCAUGAAGACAUGAACAUUGCAAGUGAACUGCUCCAGUUUUAAGGGUUAUACAGAAAUAGUUCGCUCAAGUGAUUUUAUUAUGGUAGCUACAGUAAUGCCACAUGAAUAUUGAUAAUGCAUUUACAUGUCCAGAUCUGAAUAUUACUCCAUUUGCUUUUUGGGUGUUUAGGUAUUUCAUACACAAGGAAACCUGCUACUGCAUGCACAGCAGUACAGUGCAACCUAUUGGACGCACCCGCUCUCAGCCGCCUGUCUGAGGUUGAUGAAGAUAGUGGUGAGGAGAGUGAAGAGUCGGAAGAAGAUGACCAAAAUGAGACAGAGGAUCCAGUUUAUCACCCUAACGAGAAAGACUUGCAAGAAGAGGAGCCAAUCAUUAGCUAUGCUGUUCUGUGGUGCAAAUGUCACAAAAACACUUCAUGUGUUCUCCUCUGCCGGAAUCACUUCUUAUUCGUACCAGACUUUCCUCAAUCACCAAAGUCGUUCUUGAAGAAAGCUGUCAGCCACCGUAUGGUCAGAAGAGAGAGGAACAUUGCUGACAGAACUCAAAAGGUGUCAGACUGGCUUACACAGUGCAAAGUAUGGCACUUACAACAUUCUAGAAACAAAGAUCAAUAAAGUCAUCAACGUUGAAACAGU